RNA transcript from Ochotona curzoniae (black-lipped pika), 1854 nucleotides. It is a transcript of the gene named WW domain-binding protein 11-like, with no coding region annotated. NCBI's taxonomy places the organism in Eukaryota, Metazoa, Chordata, Mammalia, Lagomorpha, Ochotonidae. The record is from RefSeq and is a predicted model, not a curated record. The transcript has a single exon.
GUUAACACGGGACAAAGAUCUACAUCAUCCACCAAGAUUGGAAAAUUUAUGAACCCCACAGACAUGCCCAAAAGGAAGUCGGAAGAGAUAAAGAACAAAAACCAAUGCAUGGUGGUGCGAGCAUGCAGGUGAAGGUUCCUGAACAGAUUAUCCAGGACAAUUGGAUGAAAUGGAGUUUAACCCAUUGCAACAGCCACUGUUAAAUGAGAAAGUACUGAAAGACAAGUGUAAAAAGCUGUGUGAAAAUAUGAGUGUAUUCUCCAACUUUAUAAAAAAGAGGAUCCAGAUAUUUAUAAAGAAUUGAGAAAACUAGAAGUGAAUAUGAACAAAAAAUUGUUCAGCUUAGCCAGUAUUUUGAUGCUGUUAAGAAUGCAUGUGGACAUGGGGAGUAUUCCCUUGCCAGAUAUACAAUAUGCUGCUUCCAACAUCUUGAUCCAGGACAUUACACUUCCUGGUGCCCAGCCAUCCUCCACCCUAUUGACCUCCACCCAAGGCAGUUUCUGUAAUCAAUCUUCAUGGAUAUGGUGUUUCACGUUUGCCCUUUGGAAGAAAACCUCCCGGCCCCCCCUCUGGUCCAUUGCCACCUUAGGUCUUACUGGUGUGUGGCUGCAAAGUGGGCUUUGCCUUGGAUCUUCCCCCUUGUGGGCAAGAUCUUCAUCAUGCUGUGUAGUCCUGAACUUGUUCAGCGGGGUCAUGAUAAGGAUGUUUCCAUCACAAGUGAAGAUUAUGGCUAUCCUGAGGCCAUGGAUCAGGAUAAACAGCACCAAUGGUAGUGACACUGACAGAUCAGAUGGAGAAAGUGAGGAGGAUGAAUUUGUGCAUCGUAGUGACAAUGAAUGAGACAACAAUGAAGAAAACAAAUCAGGUCUGAGUGUAUGAUUUCCUGAUAUGCCUGGAAAAUCGAGGAAGAAAGAGAAGAGCAUGAAAGAGUUGAUGCCUCUUAAAGCCAUGAUGCUCAGAAUGGCAGGUCAGGAAAUCCUUGAGGAGGGAAGAGAAGUAGAGGAAUUUUCCGAGGAUGAUGAUGAUGAUUCUGCAGCAGAAAAGCAAUCACACAGCAGCGUAAGAAGAUUCCCAUUCUGAUGGCAAUCUUCAUCCUUGAAGCAGCAGACUCCUCCUCCCCAGUCUGUUCCUUCCUCUCGGAUUCAAACACCUCCUAUGCCAGAAUCCCAUCCUACUGACCAACCACCUGCUCUACCUUUACCACCUCCUGGAACACCUACCAGUCUUCCUUCUGCUCCAACGCCAAAGGAUCAUCUAUUCUUGGAACAACCUGGAAUGCCAGGAAUCUGAGGGCCUUUAUCCCAACAUUUACUUCCAGGUUCACCACCAGGUCCCCCUCCUGGCUCUCUCCGAAGUGAGCCCCCAGGUCUUCCUGCUGGCCCUCUGCCUCAGGGACCCCCACCAAGGAUACCUCCUCCUGUACCUCCAGGCAUCCCUCCACUUUGUCCUAUCCUGAUGCACCCACCUCCGGUGCCUCCACUUGGACCGAACCCACCUGGACUUUUCCUACCAGCUCCCUUGCCCAACUCAGAGGUUUUGAGUGUCUACACAGUUUAAUCCAGCAACCCAAGGUGGAUGAUACAAGUGAAGCCACCACUGCGAAGAAAGCCACGGUGAUCAUUAGUGCCAAGCCACAAAUCACUAACCCUAAGGCAGAGAAUACUUGAUUUGUGCCCACUGCAUUGAAAGUGUGUCAGGAGAGUAAAUGUGCUUCUGCAUGCAAACAAAGUCAGGGGAGGAUUCUACUGUGCCUCUUGCCAAAGCAGCUCCCAAGUCUGGUCCUGCUGCUGCUUUGUCCAUGCAAAUCAAGGAUGAUGUUUAUGAGGCUUUGAAGAGAUGGAAGGACUGCUGUGA